This 603-nucleotide ribosomal RNA is filed under the name Klebsiella pneumoniae. Its description in RNAcentral is "partial 23S ribosomal RNA". It matches the Rfam family "Bacterial large subunit ribosomal RNA", at positions 890 to 1495 of the family's 2925-position model. The record is from RNAcentral. Lineage: Bacteria; Pseudomonadati; Pseudomonadota; Gammaproteobacteria; Enterobacterales; Enterobacteriaceae.
UCAUCUUCGGGGGUAGAGCACUGUUUCGGCUAGGGGGUCAUCCCGACUUACCAACCCGAUGCAAACUACGAAUACCGAAGAAUGUUAUCACGGGAGACACACGGCGGGUGCUAACGUCCGUCGUGAAGAGGGAAACAACCCAGACCGCCAGCUAAGGUCCCAAAGUCAUGGUUAAGUGGGAAACGAUGUGGGAAGGCACAGACAGCCAGGAUGUUGGCUUAGAAGCAGCCAUCAUUUAAAGAAAGCGUAAUAGCUCACUGGUCGAGUCGGCCUGCGCGGAAGAUGUAACGGGGCUAAACCAUGCACCGAAGCUGCGGCAGCGACACUAUGUGUUGUUGGGUAGGGGAGCGUUCUGUAAGCCUGCGAAGGUGACCUGUGAGGGUUGCUGGAGGUAUCAGAAGUGCGAAUGCUGACAUAAGUAACGAUAAAGCGGGUGAAAAGCCCGCUCGCCGGAAGACCAAGGGUUCCUGUCCAACGUUAAUCGGGGCAGGGUGAGUCGACCCCUAAGGCGAGGCCGAAAGGCGUAGUCGAUGGGAAACAGGUUAAUAUUCCUGUACUUGGUGUUACUGCGAAGGGGGGACGGAGAAGGCUAUGUUAGCCGGG